AACGAACGCUGGCGGCGCGUCUUAAGCAUGCAAGUCGAACGGCAGGCGGGUAGCAAUACCUGCUGAGAGUGGCGAACGGGUGAGUAACGCGUAGGUGAUCUGCCCUCAGGUCGGGGAUAG
RNAcentral lists this ribosomal RNA (120 nucleotides) under uncultured bacterium. RNAcentral's name for it is "partial 16S ribosomal RNA". It matches the Rfam family "Bacterial small subunit ribosomal RNA", at positions 29 to 146 of the family's 1533-position model. The record is from RNAcentral.